UACGAAGGGGGCUAGCGUUGCUCGGAAUCACUGGGCGUAAAGCGCACGUAGGCGGAUUGUUAAGUCAGGGGUGAAAUCCCGGAGCUCAACUCCGGAACUGCCUUUGAUACUGGCGAUCUUGAGUCCGGGAGAGGUGAGUGGAACUGCGAGUGUAGAGGUGAAAUUCGUAGAUAUUCGCAAGAACACCAGUGGCGAAGGCGGCUCACUGGCCCGGUACUGACGCUGAGGUGCGAAAGCGUGGGGAGCAAACAGG
This 253-nucleotide ribosomal RNA is filed under the name uncultured bacterium. RNAcentral describes it as "partial 16S ribosomal RNA". It matches the Rfam family "Bacterial small subunit ribosomal RNA", at positions 524 to 776 of the family's 1533-position model. The record is from RNAcentral.